Molecule: ribosomal RNA, 477 nt
Filed under: uncultured bacterium
Lineage: Bacteria
Description: bacterial SSU rRNA
Rfam family: Bacterial small subunit ribosomal RNA
Source: RNAcentral
CUACGUGCCAGCAGCCGCGGUAAUACGGAGGAUGCGAGCGUUAUCCGGAUUUAUUGGGUUUAAAGGGUGCGUAGGCGGCCUGUUAAGUCAGCGGUGAAAUCUAGGAGCUUAACUCCUAAAUUGCCAUUGAUACUGGCGGGCUUGAGUGUAGAUGAGGUAGGCGGAAUGCGUGGUGUAGCGGUGGAAUGCAUAGAUAUCACGCAGAACUCCGAUUGCGAAGGCAGCUUACUAAGGUACAACUGACGCUGAAGCACGAAAGCGUGGGUAUCAAACAGGAUUAGAUACCCUGGUAGUCCGCACAGUAAACGAUGGAUGCCCGCUGUUGGUACCUGGUAUCAGCGGCUAAGCGAAAGCAUUAAGCAUCCCACCUGGGGAGUACGCCGGCAACGGUGAAACUCAAAGGAAUUGACGGGGGCCCGCACAAGCGGAGGAACAUGUGGUUUAAUUCGAUGAUACGCGAGGAACCUUACCCGGGCU